UGAGCUAGACGCCCGCAGCCUCCGCGGGACCGGAUCCGGGGCGGCGGGGGCGCUCACUCACCGCGCGCCCUCAUGUUCCCUGCGCAGGACGCUCUGCCCCGCAGCGGGCUGAACCUGAAGGAGGAGCCGCUGCUGCCCGCCGGCCUGGGCUCAGUGCGCUCCUGGAUGCAGGGCGCAGGCAUCCUGGACGCCAGCACCGCGGCGCAGAGUGGCGUGGGUCUGGCACGAGCACAUUUUGAGAAGCAGCCUCCCUCCAACCUCAGGAAAUCCAACUUCUUCCACUUCGUGCUGGCCAUGUACGACCGGCAGGGGCAGCCCGUGGAGGUGGAGCGCACAGCCUUCAUCGACUUCGUGGAAAAGGACCGAGAGCCCGGGGCGGAAAAGACUAACAAUGGGAUCCAUUACCGCCUCCGGCUGGUGUAUAACAAUGGACUUCGGACGGAGCAAGACCUCUACGUGCGUCUCAUCGACUCCAUGUCCAAGCAGGCCAUCAUCUAUGAGGGGCAGGACAAGAACCCCGAAAUGUGCCGAGUGCUGCUCACCCAUGAGAUCAUGUGCAGCCGGUGCUGUGACCGGAAGAGCUGUGGCAACCGGAAUGAGACGCCCUCAGACCCCGUCAUCAUUGACAGGUUCUUCCUCAAGUUCUUCCUCAAAUGCAACCAGAACUGCCUGAAGAAUGCAGGGAAUCCCAGAGACAUGCGCCGCUUCCAGGUGGUGGUGUCCACGACGGUGAGCGUGGACGGACACGUGCUGGCCGUGUCCGACAACAUGUUUGUGCACAACAACUCCAAGCAUGGCCGCAGGGCGCGCCGCCUGGACCCCUCCGAAGCUGCCACCCCCUGCAUCAAGGCCAUCAGCCCCGGGGAGGGCUGGACCACGGGCGGAGCCACCGUCAUUGUCAUCGGCGACAACUUCUUCGACGGGUUGCAGGUCGUGUUCGGAAACGUGCUCGUGUGGAGCGAGCUCAUCACGCCCCACGCCAUCCGGGUGCAGACGCCCCCGCGGCACAUCCCCGGGGUGGUGGAGGUGACCCUCUCCUACAAGUCCAAGCAGUUUUGCAAGGGAUCCCCCGGCCGCUUUGUCUACACAGCUCUGAACGAGCCCACCAUUGACUACGGAUUCCAGAGGCUACAGAAAGUCAUUCCCAGACACCCCGGAGACCCCGAGAGGCUGCCCAAGGAAGUGCUGCUGAAGCGGGCGGCCGACUUGGCAGAAGCCCUGUACGGAGUGCCCGGCAGUAACCAGGUAUGGCGCCUCCGCCCUCCCAGCGCCGCCGGGACCGGGGCUCCCCAUCACGCUGCGCCCUCGGCUGCCCCGGCCGUGCCCAGCUCUUGUCUUCGCAGGAGCUCCUCCUGAAGCGCGCGGCGGACGUGGCCGAGGCUCUGUACAGCACCCCCCGCGCACCCGGGCCGCUCGGACCCCUGGCCCCGAGCCACCCACACCCCGCCGUCGUGGGCAUCAACGCCUUCAGCAGCCCGCUGGCCAUCGCCGUCGGGGACGCCACCCCGGGGCCCGAGCCGGGCUACGCGCGCAGCUGCAGCAGCGCGUCCCCCCGCGGGUUCGCGCCCAGCCCCGGCUCGCAGCAGAGCGGUUACGGCAGCGGCCUCGGAGCUGGCCUGGGCGGCUACGGCGCGCCGGGCGUGGCCGGCCUCGGCGUGCCUGGGUCCCCCAGCUUCCUCAAUGGCUCCACCGCCACCUCGCCCUUCGCCAUCAUGCCCUCUAGCCCCCCGCUGGCGGCUGCCUCCUCCAUGUCCCUCCCGGCCGCUGCCCCCACAACCAGCGUCUUCUCCUUCUCGCCUGUCAACAUGAUCUCCGCCGUCAAACAGAGGAGCGCCUUCGCCCCCGUGCUGCGCCCCCCGAGCUCCCCACCCCAGGCCUGCCCCAGAGCCCACGGAGAGGGGCUUCCAGCCCAGAGAGUGACAGGCAGGUGGCUCCCCAGGUGGCACAUGGCUUAUGGCUCCUUUUUCCUUGACUACCGCAGACCAGUCUUUUGAGGAUUCUGACAAGUUCCACUCUCCAGCCCGGGGGCUUCAGGGCCUGGCAUACUCCUAAUUACGGUCUGCAGCUGUUCCCAUGGAGCCCCGACUGGAGGUCCCUCUGGGAUUCACAGCCACACCCUGGAUGGUGGCACAGACAGAUGCAGGGCCAGGGCCAUGGGCAGACCUCAACCCGUGAGCUGAACGGGGAGAGGCCUUCACCCCAUGCUCAAGCCUCCCCGCUAGCAGCCCCACAGGCUUCUCUCGCCUCCCUGUCUUGGGGUGGUCAGAAGCCCCAGCACUGUGCAGAUGCUCUUGGCAGGACAGCGUCCCAGGGAGGUGCUGGGAUUCUGGGCCUCACUGUCUGGGUCUUGGUUCCUCUGAAAGAGAUGGAUCUUGUGCAGACCAGGGACGUCAAGUGAGGGGAGCAUGGGAUGGGGACCGUGGGAAAGAGGACAGCUCAGGGAGAAGUGACCUGGAAAGGUCCUGUUUGCAUCUGACCCAUCUCAACUGGCCCAGCAUCCCAACUUCUCUGCAGCGAAAGGGUGGCGCCCCGCAGCGUCGGGAGGCCUGCCCGGGCUCCCGUGGAGCUUCCAACAGCUGCUUGGUCCCGCAGCUGCCCCCACUUCCUUUGAGACCUGCACUCUCAUGCUUGCCGCAUCAUGCCUCCCUGUGGGGGCUUUGGGCAUGGAGGAGGCAGAAGAGGGGGUGCCAGGCCUCCUGUAUUUGGGGUCUUCCCCCAGUGGAUGUCUCAUGGACUCUGGCCCCACACACUCACAAUGACUCUGGCUGGCCCCAUGCAGUGGGCCCGGCCGCCCCCCAGGUGGUCUCACAUUCUGCUCUGCUAAGUUUGGAGAAAACAGAACAAUAAACCAGAUGCAGGUG
This 2861-nucleotide small RNA is filed under the name Pongo abelii (Sumatran orangutan). RNAcentral describes it as "retained intron". Lineage: Eukaryota; Metazoa; Chordata; Mammalia; Primates; Hominidae. The record is from RNAcentral.